GGGGGUGAAUUUUGGUUUCGACGGGAUUAAAGAGACUUAGAAUUGCAUACCGUGUUCCCCAAAGACACGUUAAAGAAUUGGGAAAAAAUAAUAACUGGCGAAAAUAAUUACGCCUUAGCUGCUUAAUUAAUAAUUAACAGCCGUUCACCUUAUCCUCUUGUAUCGGGCUAAGACUGAACGCCGUUUAGAUACAAUAGCCGAUUCUGUUGCUUGUGCAGAUGAAGCGAAUUUUUAGCAGGCAGGUUUAAAGUGAUCUCAGUCUGGCGAGUAACUUUAAGCUAAAAUAAAAGACAGACUAUGUAUGUAGAAGUUCUUUGGAUCUUAGUUUCGGACGCGGGUUCGACUCCCGCCACCUCCACUG
This 361-nucleotide transfer-messenger RNA is filed under the name Ignavibacterium sp. It matches the Rfam family "transfer-messenger RNA". From Rfam's summary of the family: Bacterial tmRNA, also known as 10Sa RNA or SsrA, is named for its dual tRNA and mRNA-like properties. Its role is to liberate the mRNA from a stalled ribosome. The record is from RNAcentral. Lineage: Bacteria; Pseudomonadati; Ignavibacteriota; Ignavibacteria; Ignavibacteriales; Ignavibacteriaceae.